RNAcentral lists this ribosomal RNA (484 nucleotides) under uncultured bacterium. Its description in RNAcentral is "partial 16S ribosomal RNA". It matches the Rfam family "Bacterial small subunit ribosomal RNA", at positions 30 to 507 of the family's 1533-position model. The record is from RNAcentral.
AUUGAACGCUGGCGGCAUGCCUUACACAUGCAAGUCGAACGGUAACAGGUCUUUCGGGAUGCUGACGAGUGGCGAACGGGUGAGUAAUACAUCGGAACGUGCCUAGUAGUGGGGGAUAACUACUCGAAAGAGUGGCUAAUACCGCAUGAGAUCUAUGGAUGAAAGCAGGGGACCUUUGGUCCUUGUGCUACUAGAGCGGCCGAUGGCAGAUUAGGUAGUUGGUGGGAUAAAAGCUUACCAAGCCUACGAUCUGUAGCUGGUCUGAGAGGACGAUCAGCCACACUGGGACUGAGACACGGCCCAGACUCCUACGGGAGGCAGCAGUGGGGAAUUUUGGACAAUGGGCGCAAGCCUGAUCCAGCAAUGCCGCGUGCAGGAUGAAGGCCUUCGGGUUGUAAACUGCUUUUGUACGGAACGAAAAGUCUUGGGUUAAUACCCUGGGAUCAUGACGGUACCGUAAGAAUAAGCACCGGCUAACUACGUG